GACUCUUGGCAACGGAUAUCUUGGCUCUUUCAUCGAUGAAGAAUGUAGUGAAACGCGAUAGCUGGUGUGAAUUGUAGAAUCCCGCGAACCAUCGAGUCUUUGAACGCAAGUUGCGCCCGAGGCCACUCGGCCGAGGGAACGCCAGCCUGGGCGUCA
RNAcentral lists this ribosomal RNA (156 nucleotides) under Triticum aestivum (bread wheat). RNAcentral describes it as "rRNA 5_8S_rRNA". It matches the Rfam family "5.8S ribosomal RNA". Rfam says of the family: 5.8S ribosomal RNA (5.8S rRNA) is a component of the large subunit of the eukaryotic ribosome. It is transcribed by RNA polymerase I as part of the 45S precursor that also contains 18S and 28S rRNA. Lineage: Eukaryota; Viridiplantae; Streptophyta; Magnoliopsida; Poales; Poaceae. The record is from RNAcentral.